This 566-nucleotide long non-coding RNA is filed under the name Olea europaea (common olive). RNAcentral's name for it is "long non-coding RNA (OEUR_LNC001360)". Lineage: Eukaryota; Viridiplantae; Streptophyta; Magnoliopsida; Lamiales; Oleaceae. The record is from RNAcentral.
CAGAAUUUAAACACAAUAACUAUUUUCUUGUCAGUCCUAUACAUUCAUCUCUAUCUCUUCUCAUCAUCAUAUCACUAAUCUACUUCCUUUGAUGACCAUUCAUUGUCCGUGUCAAAGUCCUCAUCUUGCUGCUUCUUGGCAUAAGCAUACAACGGGACACAUAAAUUUCUUCGAAUAUGCGAAAUGUUGAAUGUCUUCGGCAUUUCAUCUAACCGUUCAUUCAAGAAGUACUGUUCAUACCUAAUGACAUAAACUCCACAAUCUCCAUUACAAGCAAAAAGAAGAAGAAUUUAGACAAAUAAAAAACUAAACAUUAAAUGAAAGGUAAUACCUUAGUUGUCACCUCAUCUUUUGCCGGUUCACAACUUCCUAAGCAACUAUCAUCAACUUUUCUUGCUCUAACAAACAUAAUUAAUAUUAAUUAAUUCAAUCCCUUAAAAUAAUCAAUUAUAUAUAUGAUAAAUUACACUAAACAAUAUUAAGAAAAACAUUAUAACAUUUGUAAUUAGGGAUGUGCAUGCAUUCUUAUGAAGAUCACUCAAAGAAGUGACAAGCAUACAGAUUUG